RNAcentral lists this ribosomal RNA (870 nucleotides) under uncultured bacterium. RNAcentral describes it as "bacterial SSU rRNA". It matches the Rfam family "Bacterial small subunit ribosomal RNA", at positions 30 to 893 of the family's 1533-position model. The record is from RNAcentral.
UGAACGCUGGCGGCGUGCCUAACACAUGCAAGUCGGAUGUGCCGCAAGGUGCAUGGCAGACGGGUGAGUAACGCGUGGGGAAUCUACCUCUUUGUGGGGAAUAACGCUCCGAAAGGAGUGGUAAUACCGCAUGAGAUCCAAGGCUGGGAUGUUUUGGAUGAAACCUGGGGACCGCAAGGCCUGGGGCAAGGAGAGGAUCCUGCGUCUGAUUAGCUAGUUGGCGGGGUAAUGGCCCACCAAGGCGACGAUCAGUAGCCGGCCUGAGAGGGUGAUCGGCCACACUGGAACUGAGACACGGUCCAGACUCCUACGGGAGGCAGCAGUGGGGAAUUUUGCGCAAUGGACGAGAGUCUGACGCAGCAACGCCGCGUGGGUGAUGAAGGUCUUCGGAUCGUAAAACCCUGUCGUCAGGGACGAAGGCUGGGGGGUGAAUAGCCCUUUAGCUUGACGGUACCUGGAGAGGAAGCCCCGGCUAACUCUGUGCCAGCAGCCGCGGUAAUACAGAGGGGGCAAGCGUUAUUCGGAAUUAUUGGGCGUAAAGGGCGCGUAGGCGGCUUUUUAAGUGAGAUGUGUAAUCCCCGGGCUCAACUUGGGAACUGCAUCUCAGACUGGAAGGCUAGAGUGCUGGAGAGGGUGGUAGAAUUCCACGUGUAGCGGUGAAAUGCGUAGAGAUGUGGAGGAAUACCAGUGGCGAAGGCGGCCACCUGGACAGCAACUGACGCUGAGGCGCGAAAGUGUGGGUAGCAAACAGGAUUAGAUACCCUGGUAGUCCACACUGUAAACGAUGAACACUUGGUGUGGAGGGAGUUGACCCCUUCCGUGCCGGAGCUAACGCGUUAAGUGUUCCGCCUGGGGAGUACGGUCGCAAGG